This 71-nucleotide transfer RNA is filed under the name Loxodonta africana (African savanna elephant). It matches the Rfam family "tRNA". From Rfam's summary of the family: Transfer RNA (tRNA) molecules are approximately 80 nucleotides in length. The record is from Rfam by way of RNAcentral. Lineage: Eukaryota; Metazoa; Chordata; Mammalia; Proboscidea; Elephantidae.
GCACUGGUGGUUUGGUGGUAGAAUUCUUGCUUUUUGUGCGGGAGACCGGGGUUUGAUUCCCAGCCAAUGCA